RNAcentral lists this long non-coding RNA (2399 nucleotides) under Fukomys damarensis (Damara mole-rat). RNAcentral's name for it is "lncRNA (ENSFDAG00000031470.1)". The record is from RNAcentral. Lineage: Eukaryota; Metazoa; Chordata; Mammalia; Rodentia; Bathyergidae.
CCCUGACGUCAGCCCCUCGGACCCGGAUGUAGGCGCUCUCGCGGCAUCACCGAGAUUUGGUCCGGUGACUCUCCUGAAGUCGCCAUAUCCCAGACGCAGUGCGCGCUUUUACCCUCCUUGCUGUUUCCCUUCUCUCCAGCCUGCGUCUCUCCCACUCUUCACUUUUGCUUUCUUGAGUAAACUUGGCCCCGGCCUUUUGCUGGUUUCAUUCAGUUCUCUGUGCCCAACGAAAAGAACCUGUGGUCAGCUGCAGGAAAGGCCAGCGGCCCUAUCCCGGUAACGUGAGGUUGGAGCUGCUUUGGGAACCGGCUGCCUGGUACCGGGGGUCGGCCCGGAAGGCCGCAGUCUCCAGUCGUCCCCUCUCCGACCACCGCCACACCGUCCCUGCCGGCCUAAACAGAAACGGCGAACCUUGGCUCCAAUUCUGAGAAUUGGAAUAAGCUAGGAUUUCGGGACGCAUGGGUCAGAUGUAGCAGCUUUGCGCCACACUGGCAUGGGUGAGGCUGAGGCAAGACAAUCUCAUGCCUGAGGUAGGUUGGAUAUUUAGAGAGUUCAAGACCAGCCUGGGCGACGGAGCACCAUCCUGUCUCAAAAUGAGACUCAGGAUGCAGUGAGAGUUCUGGGAAUCCCAAAUGCAGCUUGAAGCCUGCAAACCACGCCGCAGCUGCAUUGCUUCUAAAUCUUCUGAGGGCCAGGGUGAGAAUGAGAGUGCUGACACUGCAGUACGUGCCGACAAGCUUGAAAAGAGAGAUGAGUACCGCAGAGGAGUUAUACGAACAGAGCCCGGAGUCUGAUGAGCGGCUGCAGCCCCAGCUCUUUGAUUUGAUAAAUCUCAGUUGUCUGGGCUGGGCCCAGACUUGCAGUCCUCCUGCUUCAGCCUCCCAAGGUGCUGGAUCCCAGCCUCAGGGCGAGGGAUCCCCAAAGCCUGCAGAUAGUGGAGCAGGAUGUGGGCCCCAGGCCUGGAAGAGCAAAGAAGAGGAGGAGGAGGAGCCUGGCGUGGUGGUGUACGCAGAUGACCAGAACCACGCAGAUGGUGCUGCUGGGAGGUGCGUAUCGCUGCGUGGCCCUGGCUGCGUGGGGAGGGAGGGACUGACUGGCAGGAGGCCAGAGUCACAGCGCCAGCUGGGCCUCGAGGUGGGGCGGGGCCACACCCAGGUGUUGGGGGGGCAGCUUUUCUGGACCCCUUCCUCAUCAGUUUCACCUGCUUUCAUCAGCUUUGCUAGAAAACUUUCCCCACAGAGAACUGGUGUGUUUGUUUGGGACAGGCUCUGGGUCCAGCCUGGCCCUGAGAGUCUCAUGUAGCCCACUUCAAACUCAUGGCCCUCCUGCCUCAGCCUCCCAAGUGUGGGGAUCAAUGGCGGCCACCACUGGGAUUGCUGAUCCGAGCCCUGAGCAGCAGCUUCUCCCCACAGCAACCUGGAGGUGCUGCAUGGGCCACCAAGACAGGGACGUCACGGGGAGGGAAGGGGACGUCAUGGGGAGUGAAGGGGAGGGCGGCCCACCCACCCUGGCCCAACAGCAUCUGUUCCCCCCAGCGCUGUCCCCACGCCCCAUCUCCCGGACCCGGCUGGCAGCGAGGACAGGGCUGGGACCCAGGACAGGGCUGCACCCCGCGACCAGCAACAGUGUUGGCAGAGGCAGAGCCGGUGAGCAGGGCAGCCUGGGCUACAAAGCACUAGACCCUGUAUUAAAAAAACAAAAAAUACUGCCUUAGAAUAAGCACUGGUAGAGUCUACCUUGAAAUAUAGAGUAGCUUGGAUGAUUAAAGGUUAGUGUGGGAGCAGAUUCUGAAGGUCCAGUUACUGGGGAAGUGUGAACCUGAACCCCACCCUCACCCACGUCUCUGGAGACAGAGCACUGAGAUUCAGGUCCCGUUGGAUGAGUCUUGUGUUGGACCUGCAUCCUUUUAUGUUCUUUGAGUUGACUUCAACUACAGCGAUUCUAUUAACAGUGUGGCCUGGUUGUUCCUUUGGAUUUGAUUGAAAAGGUUUUUUUGGUUUUGUUUUUUGGGCGUUUUUUUUUUUUUUUUUUGUACUGGGGAUCGAACUCAGGACCUUGCACUUGCAAGCCAGGCGAUGGCACCACUGGGCUGGAUCCCUGGCCCAUUAUGCUGAUGUUUUGUAGUUUAAAUUUUAGUUAACUCACUGAGCACCACGGCGCACACCUGUGAGCCCAGCACUGGGAAGGCUGAGACAGGAGGAUCGCAUGAGUUCAGGGCUAGCCUAAUUGCAUAAUGAGACCCUGCCUCGGAAAAACAAUAAAUAAAUAAAUUGUAGUUACCUAGCUCCAGGCUUACUAAAUAUUUCUGAGAUCUGAAAUGGAUUAACUCUGACCUGAGUUUUCCUGAGAAGAAUGCAGUCUUACAUUUCUCUUUAUUUUAAUUUUAUUUUUGGUUUUCA